GUGUUUUUCUUACAUAGUAGACAAGGCUCCAGGACUGGAUCUCCUCAGCACUGAAACAUCUAGUUACAUGACUUCAAUUACUUAGAGAAUGGGCAGAAUGAAACAAACCAGUACUACAGUACAAGAGAAGUACACCUCCAGGAAUGUCAGCCCUCAGAAAAGAAUGGGGUUGUGAGUUACAGCCAAGUAAAGUUUUGUGCUGGGAACUAUCACAUAAGACAUUCAUCCCUUCAAAUCAACCCGUGGCAGCAGCAGCUCAAACUGGCUAAAAUUUCCAUCAGAUUGCUAAUGAAGGAAGUAACCUGGAGCACUGGGCAUCUCUUUCACAGUUAAGAAGAACGAAGGGCACUCCUGAGUUUGUUUUGCAGCUUUUCCUGCCCUAGAUAGAAUUUGUGCAGAAAAGAACAAGUUCAAGCUGCUUUGUUUUUAUUUAUAUUCCAAGCAGAUCAUGCACAAGACAGCUGUUUAUCAGCCAUCUGUAUAGAUGCAUUAAUAAACAUUCUGCUCAAUCUAA
Molecule: long non-coding RNA, 514 nt
Organism: Rhea pennata
Lineage: Eukaryota; Metazoa; Chordata; Aves; Rheiformes; Rheidae
Exons: 2
Source: RefSeq, a predicted model, not a curated record